Myodes glareolus (Bank vole) is the source of this 416-nucleotide long non-coding RNA. RefSeq lists it as uncharacterized. The record is from RefSeq and is a predicted model, not a curated record. NCBI's taxonomy places the organism in Eukaryota, Metazoa, Chordata, Mammalia, Rodentia, Cricetidae.
UGUUGUGUCAUUCACAGCAGAAUUUCAUCUCCUACUUUUCAGAAACAAGCAGAAGGUCAGAGCGAUUGUUCUGCACCUGCUGCUGCUCAAGUGCCUUUGACUUAAAUGGCCAGUGUGCCAGAACACCGGGGCAGGGAUGUCAGACCAACGAUGCAUGGGCUGUUAUGAUGGUGGAUUCAGAUCACACAGUCCAGAAGGCACAGAGCUUUUGAGUGUUUGCAGUCUGCACACACCUCCACCUGUUUUGUUGUCUGGCUGGUGUGGGCCUCACAGCUGAGCAACUCGCUCCUGACCUGGAAAGAGUAUGAACAAUCAGUUCUUCUGUGAAGGGUUGUAGAAGCUUCCAGAAAACACAUUAGGGCCUGGGGAUUUCAGAGUUAAAACUUAAAAAAAAAUGGUUUCUUUUAUUAUUUUUA